GAGCUCAGGACCUGACCUGAGUUGGGUUAUGAGCUUGAGCCCAAGUCAGAUGCUUGGGGUGCUUGCAGUCUUGAUGCUUCACCGACGGAGCCUUCUAGGCGCCCCACGGGUUCGCAUUUCUUAGUGAUGGCCUCAGUGCUUUCUCUGCAGGAGGGGAGGGAAGUGGGGCUGCAGUGGUCAACCAUUGCCUGACCUCCCCAUUUCCUGCCAGCAGGUACAAGGGAGCUCACAGGGGCCUAAGGCCAGUGCUACUCAGAGGUGUCUUUGGGGAAAAAAAAGAAAAAAGAACAUCACUCCAGGGCUGCCUGGGUAGCUGAGUGGUUGAGCGUCCGACUUUGGCCCAGGUCAUGAUCUCAGGGUUCCUGAGUGUAAGACCCACCUCCUGCUCUGGGCUGACAGCUCUGAGCCUGGAGCCUGCUUUGCAUCAUGUGUCUCCCUCUCUGCACUGCGCCCGCUCUCUCUUUCAAAAAAUAAAUAAGAACCAUUAAAAAAUAAAAAAAAGAAAAAGAAAAACACUCUGAAAGGAGGGGAUUAUAUGGAAAAGACAAAAAGAAUCACAGGGCGAUUUGGUUGGGUUCCCACAGCGUCCCCGUGGGUUGGGGGAAAGGGGACUCUCACACAACAGGAACUCAGGAAACAUGCACACAGGGAUUGGAGCAUAUGGAAGGCAUUUCACACAUCUGUAAACAUUUUGCCUAACGUGGAAAUCGUGGUAUGUGCUUGGCCGUCAUAAGGUGCCUGAAUCAGGAAAUCUGGAGGUACUCUCCCUGAGGAAAGGAUGGGGCAACCACCUUUGUCCUUGCAGAUGCAGAGCCAUUCUGAGCCCUGAGAGAAUCUUACAUGUGGACUGACAUUCCUCAAGAUCAACGCAGAGACCCUACACUUUUAAGUUUGUUGGGUUUCCCGUGUGUGGCCAGAGGUCCCCUUGGCGGAGAACAGUUGACACGCGGAGUACAGAAGUAGGCCAAGAAACAGAAUAUUACCUGGAUAUACCACAUUACUUACCGCCCUCACUAGUCUCACUGAACAUGGGAGUGGGCAUUUGAAUACCUGGUAUCCAACAAGGUUUAUGGGGGAAAAAAAAUGGAAAGUUUGGGUUAAUAGUUUAAAUUGUUGUGUCCACAUUGAAUUCCAUGGGCAGUGAAGAAAGUUUUCUAGGUUCUGAGUGUGGAAAUGAAGGGCUAAAGGAUAAAAAACAAUUCUACAACUCAAUGUAACUUUGGUAACUUAGUAUCUUUCACACUUGACACAGUUUUCUUUCAUUUUGUCUGACGCCCUGCUCCCGUGAGUAAGUCUAAAUGUAUUUGUACAAGAAAGUUGCUAUCAAUACGAAACAUAAAAUCCAUACCAUUGCGUUUGGCCCUGCUUAUUCCUAACGGUAUUUUAGGCUGGUUUCUAACUGCUUGUAGCCACGUUAUGGCUCCCUCUGAAGGCAGCCCAUUCUAGCCACAGGCACACUUCUCCUUGGCCCCACCUCUAGUCUAGGUUAAGCAGACCCUCUGAGCUGGCUCCCUCACUGGGGGAAGGAUGUAGGUCAGGCAGGUAAUAAAGGGAAAUGGAGAGAGGACGCUUAAACCAGGCAUUGUCAUGAGUGGGAUGGACAAUGUGGGAGGACCAUGGCAUUGCUAAAGUAACAUGCCUGGCGAUAUCUCUCGCUCGCUCUCUCUCUCUCUCUCUCUCUGCAAACUUGCACUGCCCAAUGAGCAAUGCUGGAAGAAACCAUUGUAUCUCUUCUCGGAGGAAGAAAAUUGGAUUCCUGCUGAUUUAUAAGCUCAGCCUAAAAACUCCACCCAGACAAUUUGGACAGAAGAACAGGAACUGGGUUCCUUGCAGUUGCUCAGUUCCUUCAGUGACGCUGGCCUGGAAAGAAAGAAAGUGCACCUGUCAGGAGGCUGGGAAACGCAUUAAGUGAAGAGUCAACCGUGAUUUUCAUUGCACGAGGAGGAAAAAGAGCCCUGAAUUCCAUUACUGGUAAUCAGGGAAGGGAGUGUUGUUCUUACACUGGGUUUCUAGGCAACAUUUCUUUCUUACUGCAUCCUAUAGUAUAAAAAUUGUGAGACACUUGGAUCCAGAAGAGGGAGUAUUCAUCGAA
Long non-coding RNA from Neofelis nebulosa (Clouded leopard), 2092 nucleotides. RefSeq lists it as uncharacterized. The transcript has 2 exons. The record is from RefSeq and is a predicted model, not a curated record. Lineage: Eukaryota; Metazoa; Chordata; Mammalia; Carnivora; Felidae.